UGGAAACUCUGGAACUUGUAGAAGCCCCUGGCAGUGACUCAAUUCAAGGACUCUCAGUUUAGAAAGUUGAAUGAUGCCUGCAAGUAUGCUACUAAAACAGUCCUUGCUUAGAUUUAGACCUGAAGCGUACAAACCCUCUAAACAUUGCAAACUCCUCAGGUUCUCGGGAAAUCUCUCAAGUUUUGUACAGAAACUGACAUUUAGAAUUUUGAGAGUUUUCAAAUUACAAAAGGCCUCUGGAAGACUCACAAGGUAUUGCGAGAUUCAAAUAUUGAAGCCCUCUUAGAUAUUGAAUUGAUGCUGGUAGUUCUUCGAUAGCAGUUCCAUCUAAAUGAAGCUCUCUUAUAUUUUCCACAUCCUCGAGGAUUUCCGGAAAGCUCCUUAAUCGUGAACAGCCUGAGCAGAAGAGAGUUGUAAGGGAUUUCAACUCACAUAUGCUACUGGGAAGAAGCUCAAGGUUUUUGCAUUCUCGCAAACAUAACCUAUUAAGUUUAUGGGGACACUCAACAGUGGGUAGUUCAUUGAUGGCAUUUCACUUUAAACAAAGCUUCCAUAGGGAUUGCACAUCCUCUUGACAUUCCCGGCAAACGGUGGAUAUCAUUGCUUUACCAUGGUUCUGUUCAUGAUCAUGGGCAUAUAUAAGAUGGAUCCCACACUCUUCUACUUUCACUGCUUUACCUCUCAAGUAGCCACAAAAUGAAGCCGUCAACUGCCUCCAUUUAUUUGAGUGGUACUUCUCCUCAAUCUCAUGCUUAGGAUAAUAAAUCAUCCACAUACAAGGUACAACAUAGACGUGAAAUGAGGGAUAAAACUGGAGUUUAUCCACAAACUGAAUUUCAUGACCACGCAAAGUUAAACCAUACUCGAAGUAAGUUGCACCAUUCUCCAGUGUCUCCUCAGAUUCAUUAUCCAGUGGAUAAUAGACACAGUACAAAACAAAACCCAACAAGUCGUCAUUUUUAUACCAAUUUUGAGGAAGCUUUGCUACUACUUCAGCUCCCUUUUUGUGAUGGCUUAUCCAAUCUGGAAUUCCACAACUUUCUGAAAUAAUAAGAUUUACUCGGGCAAAAGGUUUUUCUAAAGGAUAAAUCUUGCAUUCCAAAUCCUGCAGAAAAUUUAAUUAACACUUAAAUCCCCAUGUCUCCACAAAAAAAGUUUUGGUCUAUGAAUAUCAUACCUGAAUCAAUGAUUUGAAGCAGUUGAAUAGAGAAGACCAGAGUAGACCUGAAGAAGUUUCCAGCCGUUUGCACAAAUGUAUAUCUAAGACACGCAAACUGGAUGGAAGUGCUGGAAUUUGUCGAAGCUCUUGACAGUUACCCAAGACAAGGAGUCUCAGCCUAGAAAGUUGAUUGAUCCCAGCAGGUAUGCUCCUAAAAAGAUUCCCGAAUAGAAAUAAUUCUUGCAGAGAUGAUAGCUGGCAAAUUUCAGUGGGGAUUCCUCCUUCAUCUAUACCACACACACGUAGAUCUACAACUUCCAAGGAGUACAAGCAGCAAAUAUCACUCAGGACUACUCCUUGCAUUAGCUUUGAGUAAAUAAGAUCUAACUCCUUUAAGGAGCAUAAACCUGACAAAGAAAGCAAUUGGCAACAUCUUGAAUUUAAGCCCCUAGCACGGAGACACUUCAAGCUUUGCAGCCUCCCCAGGUUUUGUGGCAAUUUGUGGAGUUUUGAACAGUAAUUCACAUUGAGAUCUUCAAGAAAGCGUAAAUUACAAAUGCUUUCUGGAAGAGUCACAAGGUUUUUGCACCUCUCAAGAUUCAAAACUUGAAGCCUAUUCAAAUGUUCGAUUGAAGAUGGUAGCUCUUUUAUGGCCGUUCCGUUCAAGUGAAGCUGCCUUAAGUUUUCCAUAUUCUCCAAGAUUUCUGGGAAGUACUGUAAUUGUGAACAGUCAGAGCAAAAGAGAGAUUUUAGGGAUUUGAACUCCCAAAUGCUUGUUGGUAGACUCUCAAGGUUUUUGCACUCUCGCAAACAUAAGGUAUCAAAUUCAGAGGCACACUCAAUGGGUGGUAGGCUGAUUGUCUGACCCUUUAAACAAAGCUUUCGGUGUUCCACAUUCCUCUGACAUUCAGCGCAGCUAGCAUCCACAUCAUCAGUCUGUACUAUUGGAUCUUGGGCGUAUAUAGGUUCAAGCCCACACUUGAGCACCUUAAAAUGAUUGCGACAGCCCAUAAAUAUAGCCCCAAGAAACAUGGAUGGAUUGGUGUGACAGCUCUCCAGAAUAGCAGCCUUGGGAUAGAAUAUCACCCACAUUUGUUCUGAUCCACCUCCAUCAUGGUAGCAUUUACAAGUAGUGCGAAAACUGAGACGUUGCGCACACAGGGUAGAAAAUCCAUAUCUAUCAUGUAAUGACAAUUUACAUUCUAACCCAGUGGAGAUUGAAGAUUCAGCUUCAAGUAAAUCGUCAUAUUCAUUUAGGGCUUCGUCACCAGAUUCAUUCUCCGAUGUAUGUGCAAAAUCAUUUUCUGGUAUGUCCUCACAUUCAUCGUGUGGAGCAUAAACACAGCAUAUAGCAAUUCCCAAGAAGUCAUUAUUUUCGUAACAAUUCUGAGGAAGGUCCAUUGUGAUAUGAUUUCCCUCUCUCUGAUUCCUUAUCCACUUGGGAAUUCCACAGCUUCCCGGAACAACAAUACAGACUCCAUUGCCAAUGAAGUCAGAAUCACGGAGAAAUACUUCAUUUGAACUGCUCUUGUAUUUCAAAUCCUGUACAAAAGGACAAUGUAAAUCCUGUGGGUCUGUGCCAUUAUGUGAGUUUUUAUGAGAGAGUUUGUUAUCAGUUUUUGAUAAAUUGAUUCCCAGUUUUAACUUUCUUUGAUCUAUGCUCCUGAAUCUACUUAAUAUCCCUUUUAGAUGACGGAUUAUCAAUCAACAUGAAAGUGAGUGACAAGAUUAAGUGUGAAAACUGGAAGUGAGGGGAAACUGAAACUGAAAGUGAGUAGAAUAACCAGAUCUCUUCUUCACUUGCAGUAGCUUCUUCUCCAUUCAGAUACAGAGAUCUUAGAAUUGUAGCUUCAACUUAACUCUCAGAAUCUUAAAGACAAAGUUCGCUCAAGUUUCAAAAACUCACACAAAAAUUUCUCCUCAUGUUUCUCUUAAUCCUAUGAGGCGAGAGACAUGUAGCACACACUUAUUGGCUUUUUUACAUGCAAGUUUCAAGGUGGAGCGUCUAAUGAACUAAAACAUUCCCUCAAAUCCCAGUGGAAAUUCACACUAGAAAUUGCAGAAUUUGCUAAGGAAAAGUUUAAUUCAUUUAAUCCAUGAAUAAAAAAGUAUGUGAGAGCAUUUUAACAUCCUAAUACUUAUUAUAUUAAACUAUAAUUCUCAUUAUUUAAACUCAUGAUCCUUCACUUCAUCACCAAAUUUUGAAGACACUUUUGGCAUCUCUUCCAUGAAUUAAUUGAUGUUUAAGAAGGUAUAAUAAACUUUUAAUUGAAUUUAACAUUAUUUCUAUCCUAAUACUCAUCUUAAACUCUGUUUUUUUUUUUUUUAUACUCUUAUCAAAACAAAUAAAAACUUAACAAAAAAAUAAAGAUUUCAAUUACUCCGUGUUCAAAAGGGAAAAUGGCUAAAUGUCAUGAAAAUCAUACCUCAAUAGUUGAUUUAAAGCAUUUGAACAGAGAAACACCAAGUAGACAUGAUGGACUUGAUAAAACUUCCAAGCAUGUGCAACUGUGGACAUCUAGAACUCGUAAACUUGGUGGAAGCUCUGGAACUUGUAGAAGCCCCUGGCAGUGACUCAAUUCAAGGACUCUCAGUUUAGAAAGUUGAAUGAUGCCUGCAAGUAUGCUACUAAAACAGUCCUUGCUUAGAUUUAGACCUGAAGCGUACAAACCCUCUAAACAUUGCAAACUCCUCAGGUUCUCGGGAAAUCUCUCAAGUUUUGUACAGAAACUGACAUUUAGAAUUUUGAGCGUUUUCAACUUACAAAUGGCCUCUGGAAGACUCACAAGGUUGCUGCAAUCUGCAAGAUUCAAAUGUUGAAGCCCUCUUAGAUAUUGAAUUGAUGCUGGUAGUUCUUCUAUAGCAGUUCCAUCUAAAUGAAGCUCUCUUAUAUUUUCCACAUCCUCGAGGAUUUCCGGAAAGCUCCUUAAUCGUGAACAGCCUGAGCAGAAGAGAGUUGUAAGGGAUUUCAACUCACAUAUGCUACUGGGAAGAAGCUCAAGGUUUUUGCAUUCUCGCAAACAUAACCUAUUAAGUUUAUGGGGACACUCAAUAGUGGGUAGUUCAUUGAUGGCAUUUCCCUUUAAACAAAGCUUCCAUAGGGAUUGCACAUCCUCUUGACAUUCCCGGCAAACGGUGGAUAUCAUUGCUUUACCAUGGUUCUGUUCAUGAUCAUGGGCAUAUAUAAGAUGGAUCCCACACUCUUCUACUUUCACUGCUUUACCUCUCAAGUAGCCACAAAAUGAAGCCGUCAACUGCCUCCAUUUAUUUGAGUGGUACUUCUCCCCAAUCUCAUACUUAGGAUAAUAAAUCAUCCACAUAUAAGGUACAACAUUGCCGUAAAAUGAGGGAUAAAACUGGAGUUUAUCCACAAACUGAAUUUCAUGACCACGCAAAGUCAAACCAUACUCGAAGUAAGUUGCAUCAUUCUCCAGUGUCUCCUCAGAUUCAUUAUCAAGUGGAUAAUAGACAGAGUACAAAACAAAACCCAACAAGUCGUCAUUUUUAUACCAAUUUUGAGGAAGCUUUGCUACUACUUCAGCUCCCUUUUUGUGAUGGCUUAUCCAAUUUGGAAUUCCACAACUUUCUGAAAUAAUAAGAUUUACUCGGGCAAAAGGUUUUUCUAAAGGAUAAAUCUUGCAUUCCAAAUCCUGCAGAAAAUUUAAUUAACACGUAAAUCCCCAUGUCUCCACAAAAAAAGUUUUGGUCUAUGAAUAUCAUACCUGAAUCAAUGAUUUGAAGCAGUUGAAUAGAGAAGACCAGAGUAGACCUGAAGAAGUUUCCAGCCGUUUGCACGAUUGUACAUCUAAGACACGCAAACUGGAUGGAAGCACUGGAAUUUGUCGAAGCUCUUGACAGUUACUCAAGACAAGGAGUCUCAGCCUAGAAAGUUGAUUGAUCCCAGCAGGUAUGCUCCUAAAAAGAUUCCCGAUUAGAAGUAAUUCUUGCAGAGAUGAUAGCUGGCAAAUUUCAGUGGGGAUUCCUCCUUCAUCUAUACCGCAGAAAGAUAGAUCUAACACUUCCACGGAGUACAAGCAGCAAAUAUCACUCAGGACUACUCCUUGCAUUAGCUUUGAGUAAAUAAGAUCCAACUCCUUUAAGGAGCAUAAACCUGACAAAGAAAGCAAUUGGCAACAUCUUGAAUUUAAGCCCCUAGCACGGAGACGCUUCAAGCUUUGCAGCCUCCCCAGGUUUUGUGGCAAUUUGUGGAGUUUUGAACAGAAAUUGACAUUGAGAUCCUCAAGAAAGCGUAAAUUACAAAUGCUUUCUGGAAGAGUCACAAGGUUUUUGCACCUCCCCAGAUUCAAAACUUGAAGCCUAUUCAAACGUUCGAUUGAAGAUGGUAGCUCUUUUAUAGCCGUUCCAUUCAAGUGAAGCUGCCUUAAGUUUUCCAUAGUCUCCAAGAUUUCUGGGAAGUACUGUAAUUGUGAACAGUCAGAGCAAAAGAGAGAUUUUAGGGAUUUGAACUCCCAAAUGAUUGUUGGUAGACUCUCAAGGUUUUUGCACUCUCGCAAACAUAAGGUAUCAAAUUCAGAGGCACGCUCAAUGGGUGGUAGGCUGAUUGUCUGACACUUUAAACAAAGCUUUCGGUGUUCCACAUUCCUCUGACAUUCAGCGCAGCUAGCUUCCACAUCCUCAGUCUGUACUAUUGGAUCUUGGGCGUAUAUAGGUUCAAGCCCACACUUGAGCACCUUAAAAUGAUUGCGACAGCCCAUAAAUAUAGCCCCAAGAAAAAUGGAUGGAUUGGUGUGACAGCUCUCCAGAAUAGCAGCCUUGGGAUAGAAUAUCACCCACAUUUGUUCUGAUCCACCUCCAUCAUGGUAGCAUUUACAAGUAGUGCGAAAACUCAGAUGUUGCACACACAGUGUAGAAAAUCCAUAUCUAUCAUGCAAUGACAAUUGACAUUCUAACUCAGUGGAGAUUGAAGAUUCAGCUUCAAGAAAAUCGUCAUAUUCAUUUAGGGCUUCAUCAUCAGAUUCAUUCUCCGAUUUAUGUGCAAAAUCAUUUUCUGGUAUGUCCUCACAUUCAUCAAGUGGAGCAUAAACACAGCAUAUAGCAAUUCCCAAGAAGUCAUUAUUUUCGUAACAAUUCCGAGGAAGGUCCAUUGUGAUCCUAUUUUCCUUUCUCUGAUUCCUUAUCCAGUUGGGAAUUCCACAGCUUCCCGGAACAACAAUACAGAUUCCAUGGCCAAUGAAGUAAGAAUCAGAGAGAAAUACUACGUUUGAACUGCUCUUGUAUUUCAAAUCCUGUACAAAAGGACAAUGUAAAUCCUGUGGGUCUGUGGCAUUAUGUGAGUUUUUAUGAGAUAGUUUGUUGUCAGUUUUUGAUAAAUUGAUUCCCAGUUUUAACUUUCUUUGAUCUAUGCUCCUGAAUCUACUUAAUAUCCCUUUUAGAUGACGGAUUAUCAAUCAACGUGAAAGUGAGUGACAAGAUUAAGUGUGAAAACUGGAAGUGAGGGGAAACUGAAACUGAAAGUGAGUAGAAUAACCAGAUCUCGUCUUCACUUGCAGUAGCUUCUUCUCCAUACAGAUUCAGAGAUCUUAAAAUUGUAGAUUCAACUUAACUCUCAGAAUCUUAAAGACAAAGUUCGCUCAAGUUUCAAAAACUCACAGAAAAAUUUCUCCUCAUGUUUCUCUUAAUCCUAUAAGGCGAGAGACAUGUAGCACAAACUUAUUGGCUUUUUUCCAUGCAAGUUUCAAGGUGGAGCGUCUAAUGAUAUAAAACAUUCCCUCAAAUCCCAGUGGAAAUUCACACUUGAAAUUGCAGAAUUUGCUAAGGGAAACUUUAAUUCAUUUCAUCCAUGAAUAAAAAAGUAUGUGAAGGCAUUUUAACUUCCUAAUAAUUGUUAUGUUAAACUAUAAUUCUCAUUAUUUAAACUCAUGAUCCUUCACUUCAUCACCACAUUUUGAAGAGACUUUUGUCAUCUCUUCCAUGAAUUAAUUGAUGUUUAAGGAGGUAUAAUAAACUUUUAAUUGAAUUUAACAUUAUUUAUAUCGUUAUACUCAUCUUAAACUAUUAUUUUUUUUAUACUCUUAUCAAAAUAAAUUAAAACUUAACAAAAAAAAAAUUAAAGAUUUCAAAACAAACUUUAUAAAUUUAUCAACACUUAUUUACAUCAUUCUUUAAAGAAAUAAAUUUAUAAUUAAAAAAAAAAGAAGUGAUUUAAGAAUUAUAAAGAAGAAAAUUUUAAGAAAAAAUGUACUAGUUAUUUGAAAUAAAAUAUAAGGGAAAUCAAAAUUCUUAGUAAAUGAAUCCUCAAAAAAUUGUAACAGCUAUGCAAAUGAGAAAAAAAAUUAAAAGUAAAAAAAAAUUAUCAAUGUCAAGAAUGAGAAACAAUUUUUUUCUUUUUCUUUUCGUAAGUUUUUUUAUUCUUAUUUAAUGUAUUCAUUACAAUUUUUAAAUUAAUAAAUAAAGUUUUUAUCACAAAAUUUUAAAAUGCCAUGUAUGCUUCAAAAUUUAUAUAUUGUUAUUAGAUUUUUAUAAAUUUCAUUUAUAUCUUCAAAAUUACAAUUAUUAAACUCACAUUUUAAAAUAAGAUAUCAUAUAGUUAUUUUUUCAUCCUUUAGCAAUAUAAAACGUUUUCGUACUUUAAUAAAAAAAACUUUUUUUUUUCUAAAUAAUGACUAUUUUGUAUAAUAUUAGUAUAAACUAUUUAACAUAUAAGUACUACUCAUUCAAUAGUUUAUUUUUUUAAUUUAUUAGAGAAAGAGUGGUGCAUAUAUAAUUCAAAUAAAAGGUAAUUUCAUAUUGCAAAAAAGUUUGUGGAAAAAGGAAAUUUGAACAAGCAUUGAAAUUUAUAGGAACAAUAUUGGAAACCUAGUUUUAGGUUUGUCCCAUACCAACAAUCAUGACUUGGUAGUAGCCUAAUCUCAUAUCUAACUUUGUCAAGCCCUUCCUUUACUAAGUUGAUCAAACAAGUUGUUAAAAAGCAUAAUACAAUAUUUUUCACUUUCACCUUGUUGAGUCUUCGAUAAUCUAUACACAUUCAAAGGGAUCCAUUAUGUUUCUUUUAGAAUAAUAUUGGUGUGGCAUACGAAGCUUUAGUUUGUUGGAUGUAUCCCAUGUUAAGCAACUCCUUAAGUUGUUUCCUUAGUUCUUCUAAAUUACGUAGUGCCAUCCUAUUGGACCUCCAUGGCAAAGGGCUUAGCUCCUGGCUCUAAAUCAAUCUUGUGCUCCCCUUCCCUUAUUUGUGUGAAUUUCUUAUGUAAAUUUAAUGGCAUCUAAGGAUGACAAAGUUUGAUACAAUUUGUACGUCAACCAGACUUGAACCCGAGCAUUUUUAGUGAGUUUGUGUUUCCAUACCGUAAGUUGGAUUCAUGAAAGUCUCAGACUUGAAUCAAUUGAAUUAAAAAUAAAUAUUCAUGUUGUUAUUAAUUUAGUUUCUUUUACUUAGUUUUACUAAAUAAAAUUUUAUUCACAUAUUGUUUUUCACUUUAGGAUUUAAAUAAAAGUGAUUCAUUUAUCCUAGUAUUGACAAAUUCCAUAGCCAGACCUAGAGGAUGAUACUCGGAGUACUAUAAAAGUUGUAGUGACUUUUUCUCUGAUUUUUCUUAAUCAAAGUUACUACAUAAAAAGACUUAGUAUUUGAACAAUAGAGAAGAAUGGUCAAAAUUCAAGUAAAAUGGAAUGAUUAAUAUUAAUGAAUUUUUACCAUAAUAAAGAAUGAUACUUGAUUCUAGACUACUUAGGUAUGGAUUAAAAGAUUAACAUUAGAUAGAAUAACUCACGUAUAUUAAAGCAUUUUGCUAAGUUCUUUUUAUCCUUGAUCUUUUAUGAGAUUGAGCCAAUAAGGUUACACUUAAAAAUUUAAUGUGUUUGAAACACUCCUCUAAAAUCAAUCAUUCAAAUAUUAGAAAACAAGUAAAAUAUUUUUCAUAUGCUGAUUAAUAUACCCAAGGUAGUUCUUGAAUUAUCCUAACACAAAUAUCUUGCGAGUCUUAAUUUUGUCAAAUCAAUAUAUAUCUUUAGAUUUCUAAAGAAACUACUAUACUCGCGCACAUUCAUCCAUGAGUUAGGUAGAUUUUAUCUCUUGUAAGAGUUCAAAGAUACUGCAAACAAAAUUCACUGUACAAUUAAUAUCUCUCAAUGGUAUGUUAUUCAACUAAAACUAGUAGUGUCUUAUGUUAAUGGGCUUAGUUUUAUAAUGUAAAACUAGAUCUUUAAUACAUUAAUAGCUCUCAUGUUAUCACAAGGCAUAAUUAUGAUUUAUCACUCUCACCAUAAUCCUUUUAACAUACGUUUUAUCGAAAGUAAUUGCUUGGUUUGUUAGCUUCUUAUUAAGCUAGGCAACUGAGCAAUUAAAAUAUAGAAACAUCCCCUAUAAGUGUUCUUCCGUUCUUUAGACCUUCCAUCCCUAUUCAACAUUUGUAUGAAAAAUGUUGUCUACAAAUAUAUUGGUGUAAUACCACAAUCCAAGUUUAUAAGUACCAACCACAAAUAUAAUGAUUCUAUUAACAACUCCAAGGUGUGAUUUCUUAGGAAGAUUCUUAUCACGCAUAAACUCCAGUUCUAUAGGUUUAUCCAGCCUAAAUGUCAUUACAUAAAGAAGGCUUCCAACCAUUGAUCUACAGGUGGAUAGAUUUACAAACUUACCACUCCCAUCUCUUGUAAAAAUUUUCCUACAACUUUUCUAUUGUCGUGACCUAGCUAAGUUCAGCCAUUUUAAUUUAGCUUAUAGAGAGGGCCCCAUCGCUAACAUUUCCAAUCACAUUGUUGAUAGGAUGAUCACUAAUUUCUCUAAUUUUGCUCCAUGUGGAUGUUUGCUUGAUUUUCAUUGAGUUCAUUCACAUUCUCAAUCAUUCAACUCUUUUUUCUCACCUAAAUCUAGAAUGUUUGAUGAAAUAUCCUUAAGAAAAACACAUUAUUUUCUUUACUUCCUUAGUCAUCUAUCAAUACAUUGAUCGAUUCAAUUACAACUCUUUAAUUAUUAAAGAAGAUCUUAAAGGCUUUAAGCCAAGUUGAGUAUCUAACAAAAAUUCUUUCAACAUGCUUUGAUUCAAACAUCCCUAAUUUUUUAGAAUUGUUUGGAUAAGACAUUGUUCCUAAAAACUAUAUUUUACAUUAAGCUUCCUACUUGUCUAAACAUCAUAGCAAGUCCUUUUGGUUCUAACGUAUAGGUGGACUCAAUUAGAAGUACAAGAUGUUGUGUUUAUGGGUUAACCUGACAAGUUGUUAGAGCCUUUGGAUUAAUCCAUUCUAAACCUAGGAUCGUUGGGGUGUUUGCAAAAACUAUCUUAAGGAUCUUUAGAUCUACCCAACAAAAGCAUAUACAUGAAAAAAAUACACCUGCAAACUUUAUGUUUCCAAAAUGAUUUCAGUCUAUGAAGAAGCUAGUGCAAAUCUCAAAAACCAAGAGAUCUUUUGCUCAAUGGCUCUCUUUCCUGGAUCUAGGCACUUGUAGAUGGUGAAAUCCUCAUAGAAGGGUGGAUGCUAAGGUUCCUCUCUCUAGAUUCUAAAGAAAUGGAAGAAGAAUAAAAAAGUCCUAACCCUUAAAUGGGUUUAUAUAGGAUUCCCUAUGGGCUUAAGUGACUUGAGUCUAUCUUAGGCUUAGGGGUCGCUAAAAAAAGCCCACUUGGAUCUUAGUUAAAUAAUUAGCCCUAUUAAGGUCCAAUUAAUUAAUUAUCCUUUUCCAAAAACAUCAUUCAUAAGAUCUAAAACAACUUUGCAUUUUUACCAAAACACCCUUAUGCACAUGUAUGAAUAAAUAACCUAUACAUCCCUUAAGUAAUGUGUCACAUAGAAGUAUGAACUCAAGUAGGGACCAUUAGGAGUGGUAGGAAAAUAGUGGCUCCUGUAUAAUUUAAUUCUAAAGUUGACUUAACAUCCUUCUACAAAAAAUCAAUUGCACUCUAAUAUCCUAUGAUAUUACAUUAAUAUAAAAUACAUGGGUUUGUGACCUACUAACGACUAAAAGCUAGCUCCUCAUGAAUUGGCGUCCAUAAUAUAACAAGGUGAACACUUUCAAUCUUUUAAGAUUAACUUUACAAUCCUUAUGUUAUAGAUCAUCCCAUUAAGUGAUAAAUUGACAUACUAUAACCCACAACGAACAUAUGGUAACUUCUACUAAACGAAUUACUGCAACCAUAGAUUUUGUCAUGACUACCUCAAUAGCUAAUGUCAUAAUUCAUUGUAAAUUUUGUCUAAUGUGCAAUAAUAUAUACUAAUGCACUCACCUUAGAAACCUCAUCCGAAUGACUAAGAUAAGUCAACUCGCUAAUUAGAAGGUAGUGCACUAUAAUCUCAAAUGGAUUGCCUAAAUUCAUCAACCAACUAUGAACAAAUCAUAAAUCUUGCAAGGAACCCAUGACUUGAAUCUUUCACAUAACUGCUAAUGUACUUAAGUUAUGUAUAAUACCACUACUGCAUGCAUGAAUACUCAAAUCAAUAUCAAUGUGAACAUGGAUAAAUUAGUGGAAACUCAAGCCUAACGGUGUUACAUCAUCUCUUGCUUGCAAGGGCUUUACCUUAACACCAAUAAUCAGGUAGGUUCUUGAAAUCCAAUAUAAUAUGUGCUAUUUCUUGGAGCACUUUAUUUUUCCUUUCAAUAACUUCAUUUUCUAUGGAGUUUUAGAUGUUGAAAGCUCUUCUUUAAUUUCCUUCUCACAAAAACUCUAGAAGUUAGAAUUACAAACUCAUUUCCUCUAUUAUUUCUUAUUUUUCUUACUUAAAAUUCAUUUUUAUUCAUCAUUUGAAAGCAUAACACUUUGAAUUUUAGGAUGUACUUCUUUCUUUCUAAGCAUUGCACUCUCAUAGGACCUAUGAUGAAAAUAUCGUUAAUCAUGGAUAUAUCGAUACUUCGAUUUUACGGAUAUAUCGGAGAUAUAUCGACGGAUAUUUUGGAAAAAAAUAUCGAUAAGUCUAAAACUGAUCAGAAUUUGUAAAAAUAUAAGAAAAACUUCAUAAAAAUGUAAUGAGAAGUAUAAUGAUAUUUUUAAACUGUUUUAUUAAAUAAUUUGAUAUAUGUAUAAUAUGAUUUAUCAUAUUUGAUAAUAAUAUCGUAUGCAUCGACAAAAAUAUGAAUUUUAUAAGUGUACAUUUAUUAUUAAAUUACAUUUAAUAUUAUGAUAUUUGAUUAUAAUAUGUAUAAUUUUAAAAUAUAUAUUAAUAUUAAAAUUAUGAUACAUUUAAUUCAAUUGUAUUAAACAAUAUAAAAUAAAUUAUAAUAUAUGUACAAUUUUUUAAUAUUUAAUUAAUUAUUAAUGAUAUUAAAAGCACUAUGAAGAAAAUUUUAUAAUUUUAAUAUUUUUGGUAAUCAAUUAAAAGAAAAUUUUGCAUUUAAUUAUAAAAUAAUUAUAAUUAAUUUGCUCUUUAAAAUAUUUUUUUUAAUAUUUUCCUUAUAUAAUAAGUUUAACUAUAUAUAUGUUUAGUACAUAUCAUAUAAUAAGGGUAAGUUAGCUUGGAUGGCAAGUGGGUUGAACCUCAAACCUUUUGGUUUGGGGUUCGAAUCCCCUCAACUUCAAAAUGAAGGGUUAUCGCUGAUUUUUUUGGAUUUCUCUCGAAAUUUCGUCAGAUCGAUAUUUCUCCAUGAAAUAUCGUAUCGAUACCCUCCGAUACAUGAUACAUUGGCGAUAUAUUGCCAACAUAUCGCAAUAUUUUCUUCCUUGCAUAGGACCCAUUAAAUCCAUAUGUAACAUCUCUAAGAGCCUAGAAAAAGAGAACAUCAUUUUUCUAUCACUCAUGUGAAUUCAUUGUCCUAGGUAGGACAAAUAGGAUUUUUAGGCUUUCCUAAAUGGGAAUUGCUUUAAUUAGUUCUUUAUUUGUAAUCCUAGACAAAUCAUUAGAGUUUAAAUGCGCUAUCAUACAAUGCUACAUGUCUUUGGAUGUAGAUUUCACAUUUUACAACUAUGUGCACUAUAGAUGAUGAGGAAAAAGUAGAGAGGUGUACAAAAGCAUAACAAAAAUUAUCAAAAAUUCUAUUUCUUACCAACACACAUCCUUGAAUAGACACUGAUUUUGAGUAAAAUGAACAAAGCACAUACAAUCACAAAUUUAACUUGCGUUAAUUAAGUUUGCUUUCAAUCACUCAAUAUAUAGUAACUCCUCGAGUAUAGGUAAAUUUGGACCUUCUAUGGUACAUUUCGCUUUCAAGUUGGUUAUACAUAAUGCAACCAUCCCCAAAUACAACCAAGCUUCCCUUUAUAGGUUCAAACAUGGAGAAAGACUUUAAGUUCAUUGUUGCUUUUACCAUUCCCAAAUACAACCAAACUCCUAUGAGUUCAAAAUUCAAGAAAGAUCUAAGUUCUCUCUCAUACAACUAGAGUAGCCACUCUCAAAAUCCAAAACGUGUUUUUCUCUAGCUCUUAGGCCCUAUGAUCAACUAAGGCUUUUAGGUUCUCCGUAACCCAGAUUUUCUUUCCAAUGGGCGAUUUAAAACCUAUUCAAGAAUUGUUUUUAAAAUUAAUUUUUCAGUUCUUAAAAAUAGAAACCUAUUUUCUAGACUAAAACCAUGUUUGGCAACUUUUUGACAUAUUAUAGUUUGUUGAGAAUUUGUUCUGAAAAUAAGGUUUCUCCUAAUAACAUAUUUUAAUUGCUUUCAAUUGUUUUCAUUUAUUUUAUAGGGUUGUUUUAAGAAAAUAAUAAUAAAAAUAUAAAGAAUGAUGAAACAUAAACUAAAAACAAAAGUUAUUUUUAAGAAAUAUUUGAAAAUACAAAAAAUAUAUUAAAAAUGUUCUAAGUUUUUAAAUAGGCUUUUAUUUUAGAAGACAUUAGACCAACUAUUUUUGAAAACUUUUUUCAAUAACGGUUUUUUGAAGAAUUAUUUUCAAAAAAAUUCCUAAACAAACCCCUAACCUCUGAGGAUCUAAAACUUUGCACUAAGUUUGGCUUACAUUCAACUUCUUUUAUGGACAAAGCAAUGGAGCUAGAACAGAUUUCUUUCAAUUUAGUCAAUUCUUAUUUACGUGGCUCAUAAUCAGAUUGUAAGACAUUCAAUUUUUUUAACAAGGCACCAUGCUCAUUUUCAAGGUAAGAGAUUUUUUUCAAGCAAGGAAAUCUUCUCUCAUACUUCUUUUAUUCUCAUCCAACUUUCACAAUUUUCAUCUUAAGGCACUGAUCAUACAAGGCUUCCUAGGCAAUCUCAAAUUACAACUUUUCUUCCAAAUAUGUUGUAUCAUGAGAUGAACCUUCAAAAUUUUCAGAUUCAAGAUCAGUUUCAAAUUUAACAUUUUUCUUUUCAUUGCGAAGUGAUAUAGAAGGUUACAAGUAUAUCAACAAUUUCGUCAAGCAUAUCGUGCUCUAAAAGACACAAAUAUCAUCAACAUCAUGUGAUAAUAAUCAUAAUUAUGUUUAUGCAUGUUUCUAGCAAAUUAAUGCAAUGAAAUUUGUACACUCUUCAUCAAAAUCAUACCAAAUUACUUCUAUGACCUUAUCCUUCUGACAUUCAAGUAAGUGACCUUUCUCCACACAGUAGAAACCUUGAAUCAACUAGAUCUUUUUUGUGUUUUUUUUUUCUUUUUAUCACAUUUCUUUUCCCCUGUUUAUGGUCUCAAAUAGGUUAUCCUCUGUUUCUUGAAGCUUUUUGAACUUUUUGAAACUUUAUCAAGCCUAUAAAUUUCAAAUAUUGGUCAUUUUUUAUUCCUAUUCUGAUUUAAAUGCAUGUUCAUCUACUUUUAGUGCAAUAUUAAUGUUUCUUCCUCUUAGGAACAAUUGGGGUCAUCUCUAAUUGAAGGGAGCCAACUAUCUCAUCUAGCUUAAUUGAAUCAGCAGUGUUCCAUUCCUCUAUUGUUAUGACCUUAGGUCUAAAACGAACAGAGAAGAUCUUAACAGUUUUCAGGUAACCUUGGAAUCAAGUAAAGGCCUACAUAGAUUGAAAGUUAGCAUUCACAAUGUCCAUGAUUUCAAUAAUAUAUUCAAAAAAUAUUUUUGUUGUGAUCAUUUGAAAUUCAUUCCUUCACCUAUCCUACCUUUACAUAGUUUUACCUACCCUAGUGGAUAUAUAUCCUAUCUCUAUUUAGCACCAUAUGAGGAUAUCAACCAAAUUGAACAGAACUCCAAUCUCUGUUAGACUUCAUUUUAAGGAAGUAUAUCAGUUUUACCUUGGAAUGAGCAUAAUUAUCUCCUUUGAAGUAUGGAGGUCCACCUAUAGAGGUUCCUUCUCGGAGAAUUUCCAUCUUAAGAGAAUAUAGUUUAUCCGUAUUGAGAACAUGAGCAAACAUGUUUUGAUACAAUUUAUGAGUUUUUAAGAGAGUAUGCUAUGAACUUGAGAUCUCUUUUAGAUGAUCAAAUAACAUAUGCACAUGAAUGUCAUUGAGUGAUUAGCACAAGGUCACAAACCUCCCUAAUGAAAUCUCAACCAAAAAGCACACAAAUAUUGCACAAGAUAUAACAUAAAAAAAAUCUCUAAGUGGAGAAAGGAAAAAAAAAAAAAAACCAAUGGGUGCCUUUGUUGUUGCAAAUCCACUAUGAAUAUAAAUCCAGUUUUGCCUACAAUUCCCUCCACCAGUGAAAACAAAUGGUCUUAUAUGAUCAACUCCAUUUACUAUAGGGUUAUAAAGGAAACACUUGUGGGCUGGCAGGCAGUAGCUCCUCCCAACUCAUCAUAUUUCCAACCCCAUUUGCUCCAUCAAAUUCAUAAGAAGCUAACAAAACAACUAGCAUUUUAUAUCAUACAAUAUCUAUGCUAGUUAAUUUGCAUGGAAAAGACAAUUUCUACCCUAAAUAUGCCAACAUACAGGAAGACAUACAAUUUAUACAAACAUUGUACGCUAACACAAGAAAAUCAUACCUCACUUGCUGAUUUGAGGCAAUUCACCAGAGAAUGCAUAGGUGGCAAUGAGGUCCCAAUUGAGCUGUGCAUAUCUAACAGUCGCAGACUUGAAGGAAGCUCUGGAAUUUGUGAAACCUUCUUGCAGUGACUCAAGUCAAGGGCUCUAAGGUUAGAGAGCUGACUAAUACCCACAAGCAUGUCACUGAGGGUUCCUCCUUCCUCUGGAUUGCACCGACUUAGAUGUAAUACUUCCAGAGAGGAUAGAUGGAAAAUACAAUGGAAGACUCCUCCAUUUAGAUUGCAGUUUCUUAGACUUAAUUCUUUCAAUGCGUUCAAGCAGUUAUCACUCUUUAUUACUCCUGGUGUUAGAUUGCAUUGAUCUAAAUAUAGUUUCCUUAAGAGAGAUAAACCUGACAAAGAAGGCAAUUGACAACUGAGCGAAUUUAAAGAAAGAACCUCUAGACAUGGCAUUCUCUCCAGGUCCUCCGGCAAUCUGUCAAGUUUUGAACAGCCUUCAAGACUUAGAACUUCAAGAAAUCUCAAAUUACAAAUGCUGUUCGGGAGACCUUCAAGGUUUUUACAAUUAUCCAAAUACAAGUUGCGAAGACCUUCUAGAAGUUCAAUCGAUGAUGGUAGCUCUUUUAUAGCUGUAUUAUCUAAACUAAGCCUCUCUAGUUUUCCAAUACUGCGCUUGAUUUUUGGAAAACUAGUUAGUUGUGAACAGCCACUGCAAUGAAGUAUGAAAAGGUGUUUCAACUUAUGAAUGUCCCCAGGAAGAUUCUCAAGUCUUACACACCCUAUAAAAUUCGAGGAAAAAAAAAAGUUAGUUUAAUAACAACACUCUUAUAUGUGUGUGAACCUUAAGUAAAAUUAUACAACCUGAAAGAUUAAGUUCCUCCAAAUUUGGCACGUUUGAGAAAUUUGGUAGUUCAAUAAGCUGUUGUGAAUCAUUGAGAUUGAUGUACCUUAAAUUUCUAAGACACUGGAACAAAAUAGAAUUUCUAUUAAUAAAUCAAUUUUAACCAACUUUAAAAUAUUAUAAAACAAAAGCAUAAAUAAAUGAUUAUCAUACCAUGUUUCCUUUCCAAAGUCGUUUUAUGUUACUAUUGCUCAAACCGAGGAAAACAAGAUCAUUUGGAUGAAAGUUUGGUGGUAGAGAUUCUAAAGAAUAUCCAUCCCAACCGAGACAUGUCAAGUCAUCAGACGGAAAUACAAAAUCUUCAGGAAGUUGUUCUAUGCAAUUGUGGGAGAGGAUAAGCAAUCUAAGUCUAUUCAUCCUUUUGAAAGCUUUGCAUGUAAACUGUAUCUGUUCUGAUGUGUCCAUAUGAAAGAAUAUCCCUUCAAUUUUUUCAGUCCCCUAGAUAAUAAGAGUAUAAAAUUAGAAAAGCACGAUACAUGUAAAUCCUUACUAAGGUGAUAUAGAUGAAUAUAUAUAUAUAUAUAUCUUACCGUGUUUCUUUUCAAUACUCGAUAAAUAUCUGUAUGUCUCCAUAAUCUGCUCCUCUCUCCUGGCUCAUUAGGACAUUCUUCAUCAACAAUGCCCUUGCCCAUUUGGGCUAACAAAUCAUGCAUAUCUAUUGUAUUGUCCUCUAAAAUGGUUAUGAAACAUCUAUCAACGAGAACAUUUAUUCCACUUUCCGCUUCGCAUCCGGAACCAUCCAAUAUUCUUGAAACUGCUUCCACAUCACCUCCUUGAAAGAAACAUGCAAUGUCGAGAAAUAUCAUCUUUUGUGUAUAAUCCAAUCCAUCAAAACUUAUUUUAAGCACUUUUACAAUUUCCAUGUUAGGCACCUUUCCCAACUUCCGCAAUUCGCUUUUCCAAUCUGAUAGUCUCUUUCCAAAUAAUAGAGAACCCAAAACUUUAAGUGCUAAUGGAAGACCAUCAGCAUAUCGUACUACUUGAUGAGAGAGAUCUCCAUAACCUUCCUUCAGAUGAUGUUGUUUAAAGGCAUAAAGACAAAAAAGUUGAAGAGCUUCGUGAAAAUUUAAUUUCUCAACUUCAUACAUUUUCAUUUCAUGCCUAGUUAGCAAAUCUUUUUUCCUUGUAGUAAUGAUGAUUCUACUUCCUGGACCAAACCAAUUAUGCUUUCCAAUCAAGUGUUCUAAUUGUGUCAGCUCAUCUACAUCAUCCAGAAAAACAAGAACCCUUUUCGAGGAAAGCUUGUCCCUUAUUUCUUUGAUACCCUCAUGAACAUUCCUUAAAACUAUUUUCCUCGUUGUCCCUAGAAUAUCAUUAAGAAGUUGUUGUUGUAACUUAAGAAGACCACCAGAAUUUUCUGUGGAUUCUUUUCUGACAUCUGUGAGUAAGCUUACACUUUCGAAUUGAUUUGAGAUUCGGUUAUAAAGAGCAUUGAUGAUGGUGGUCUUGCCGAUACCACCAAGCCCAUAAACCCCGACCAUGCGAACAUCAUUCAACCCAAUCUCCAACAAUGAUAUUAGUCUUUCCAAACGAUAAUCCAUUCCGACAAUGUUCUCGGUAACAGCUAAAGUCUUAGGGAAGCUUCUAGGGACGUUCUCAAUAAUUUUAUCAAUAAGCUCUGUUUCAUACCUGCGAAUUGCAAAGCAUAAUGGGACAUGUGUACUGGCGCAUUAGGAUGAGUUGCAAAAAAUAAUAAAUUAUAUGAAAUAAAUUUAAUGAUGCCUAGUUUUCCAACUAUAACUUAGCAGGGCUAAAAGGAAUUUAAAUUAAAAUAAAAUAAACCACAUCUAUCAAACUACUCAUGAGUACAGUUUCAUUAUUCAAUAUAUAUGAUAGAAAUAAGAGA
RNAcentral lists this long non-coding RNA (18628 nucleotides) under Vitis vinifera (wine grape). Its description in RNAcentral is "long non-coding RNA (VVIN_LNC006323)". Lineage: Eukaryota; Viridiplantae; Streptophyta; Magnoliopsida; Vitales; Vitaceae. The record is from RNAcentral.